UGGUGGUGAUGGAGUAACUGAACAC
RNAcentral lists this non-coding RNA (25 nucleotides) under Cricetulus griseus (Chinese hamster). Lineage: Eukaryota; Metazoa; Chordata; Mammalia; Rodentia; Cricetidae. The record is from RNAcentral.